UCCUUCCAUACAUCAGGCUUACCUUUAGAGGGAUGGCAUUAACCGUCAUGGGCUGGGGCCUCUCACGGUAAUCAUCAGCCAAGAAAAUGCUCUACAGCCAUGCCUCCAGGUAAUCUGGUAGAGAGGCUUCAGCCAACACUAAAUACAGUGAGAGUGAGAUUGCCUGACUGCUGCUGUUAUGUACCAGAAGAAUCCCACUGACACCCGAAGCCCAAACCUCAUGGGGAAGAUAAGCAGAGGAACCUUUGAUGGACAUUAUGAGCUAAGCCCAGCCUUCAGUUCACCAGCUGGGUUCCUGAAAAUCUUAUGCAACAGUAGACUGAAUAAACUGAAGUGGUGUUUUGGUGUUUAAAUUAAAGAUAAAUAAAUAAAGAAGAAUGAUA
Long non-coding RNA from Meriones unguiculatus (Mongolian gerbil), 383 nucleotides. RefSeq lists it as uncharacterized. Lineage: Eukaryota; Metazoa; Chordata; Mammalia; Rodentia; Muridae. The transcript has 2 exons. The record is from RefSeq and is a predicted model, not a curated record.